GACGUAGAGGGCCAGCGUUGUUCGGAAUUACUGGGUGUAAAGGGUUCGUAGGCGGUGCGGCAAGUUGGGAGUGAAAUCUCUGGGCUUAACCCAGAGGCUGCUUCCAAAACUGCUGUGCUUGAGUGUGGGAGAGGCGCGUGGAAUUGCAGGUGUAGCGGUGAAAUGCGUAGAUAUCUGCAGGAACACCCGUGGCGAAAGCGGCGCGCUGGACCACUACUGACGCUGAGGAACGAAAGCUAGGGGAGCAAACAGG
This 253-nucleotide ribosomal RNA is filed under the name uncultured bacterium. Its description in RNAcentral is "partial 16S ribosomal RNA". It matches the Rfam family "Bacterial small subunit ribosomal RNA", at positions 524 to 776 of the family's 1533-position model. The record is from RNAcentral.